This 312-nucleotide unclassified non-coding RNA is filed under the name Hevea brasiliensis (rubber tree). Lineage: Eukaryota; Viridiplantae; Streptophyta; Magnoliopsida; Malpighiales; Euphorbiaceae. The record is from RNAcentral.
UUUUCUGCCAAAAGAAGUCUCAGGAUGGGCAUCAAAGUCCUUACUGAACAGACGAUGAGAAAAACAAGGAUAGGGUCUUUUUCUCGGGAUGUGAAUGUUACUGUGUUUUGAAGAAAUGAGAAUCUAUGUUGUUCUAAGAGGUUUCAGAGGAUGUCUGGGAAAUAGUAAAUGGAGUUGAUGAAUAGCGAGUUGUCCCAGUUCAGACUGUUUUCCUCCCAUUUUAUGAGAAUGACAUGAUGAUGGUUUUUGUUGGUUUCUUUACUCUGCACUUGGGUCAGUCGCCUUGAUUUCAGCUAAGAUCCUCUCUUCCUG